GUUUACAUUGCAUAUUUCUGAGUCCAUUCUCUUGCAUGUCUGUUGUAUCUGUACGUGCAGAAAGAAGGCAUUACAGUGAAGAGCUGUUAGUGAUGCAUUGCAAUGGCCACAUAUUUACCUAAUAAAGGUGUUAUUGAGCUUUUUACCUCUGAGCAGAGACAAAGAACAUUAAAAUAGUCUAAAAGCCAAGAAGUAUAUUCCCACUGCACAUUGUUUGUAAGGUCACAUAUCAGAGCUAUUCAGACUCAAACCAAACUUCACAGGUUUGCAUUAAAUUGCAUAGCAUCCUUCAUCUGUGUUUCACUACUGGUUCCCUUAUUUGCAUCUCAACAGGAAUUUGUUGCCAAUUACUCCAAAAGGCAUAUGCUUUUAAGAGUCUAACAAAGUUUACACAUUUAGUUCCUUAAAAUUCAGUAUAAUUAACUGGGAUUUUGUUCUCCAUUCUGCACUGCCAGCUGCAUUUCAGAACUCAAAAAGAAAAUUUUCUGAGAAGCAUCUUUUACUAGGUUUUUCCUUCUAGUAUGAAGCUGAUUAUUUUAUAAUUCCAUAAUCCCAAGGGUAAAUGUCCUUAGAGAGCUGAUAGCUUCCCCUCUGGUCCUUACACUGGCUACAUUCUACUCUGGAUUCACUGUCUUGAGUCAUCCAGAGAAAAAUGCUGACAAGUUUUUAACUCUUUUUCUUAAGACCAGUAUAGCAAGUCAUAUACUAACUGGUUUUCUUCCUAAGGAUAUGCUACCAUACAAGUCUUGGACCUUAACUCAUAAUAAAAUACUCAUAGGUAAAUGUUCAGGGGGAACCAGCCACCAUACCUUUAAUUUCCUACAUCCAAGAUAAAACAAAAUAAAAAUUAAUAGGUGAUCAUCAUAAAAAGAUAAAGCUGUAGUCAAGACUAUGUAUUUUCUCAUUUUCCUUAACAAUGAUUAAAUUUUGAGAUUUGGAGAUAGAAAACCAUCCCUCAUUCACUUCCUUCACAAACAGGAGGCACAAAAGCUGAAAUCACUAAUAAAUAGGUGGGUCAAAAAAAGUUGAGCCACAAAUGGGGAGAAGGUGAUGCUCAACACCCUCAACUUGAACACUAUCUACUUUGCAAAAUGAGCUACAGCAUUCAAGCACUUCAGAAGUUACAUGAUUUGACUAUACCAGACAUUGACCUAUGAGAAAAAUGUCAUUUUAAUAAUUCUUAGUCUAGGCAGAGAAAUAUUAGACCACAGAUGUCCAUGUAACUUCUAGAUCACUGCUUCGCUGUCUACGGCUCAAGGUAAAAGCAAUACUCAAAUCUUCCUGAGUCUGUGACUUGUGAUGAGCCACAGGCCACUGCAUAUACAGAAAGAAGUCUUCAACGGCUCAACACUUAAAAAUAGGUACCAAACAACUCAGUCAGGUAAUCAAAAGAUCAAAAAUUAUUCUGUACAGGUUUUACAACCAGAGGAUUGCAGUAGCAACAAAUAACUCAUAUUCUGGGAAAUUAAUUUUUCAUCCAUUAAAUCUAAGAUGUUACACAAAAGGUUUUAUGUAACUAAGUACAAAAAAAUUAGUUACCAACAGUUGUGUAUGCCUACAAUUUUCCACCUGCCAUCACUAUUCUCGAUAUUUAAAGAGCUAAUCCUGUAGAAAUCUAGGAAAAGAGUAUUGCUAAAAUUAAUAUU
Catharus ustulatus (Swainson's thrush) is the source of this 1646-nucleotide long non-coding RNA. RefSeq lists it as uncharacterized. Lineage: Eukaryota; Metazoa; Chordata; Aves; Passeriformes; Turdidae. The record is from RefSeq and is a predicted model, not a curated record. The transcript is spliced from 2 exons.